RNAcentral lists this ribosomal RNA (465 nucleotides) under Vreelandella stevensii. RNAcentral describes it as "partial 16S ribosomal RNA". It matches the Rfam family "Bacterial small subunit ribosomal RNA", at positions 338 to 795 of the family's 1533-position model. The record is from RNAcentral. Lineage: Bacteria; Pseudomonadati; Pseudomonadota; Gammaproteobacteria; Oceanospirillales; Halomonadaceae.
CCUACGGGGGGCUGCAGUGGGGAAUAUUGGACAAUGGGGGCAACCCUGAUCCAGCCAUGCCGCGUGUGUGAAGAAGGCCCUCGGGUUGUAAAGCACUUUCAGUGAGGAAGAACGCCUGGUGGUUAAUACCCAUCAGGAAAGACAUCACUCACAGAAGAAGCACCGGCUAACUCCGUGCCAGCAGCCGCGGUAAUACGGAGGGUGCGAGCGUUAAUCGGAAUUACUGGGCGUAAAGCGCGCGUAGGUGGCUUGAUAAGCCGGUUGUGAAAGCCCCGGGCUCAACCUGAGAACGGCAUCCGGAACUGUCAAGCUAGAGUGCAGGAGAGGAAGGUAGAAUUCCCGGUGUAGCGGUGAAAUGCGUAGAGAUCGGGAGGAAUACCAGUGGCGAAGGCGGCCUUCUGGACUGACACUGACACUGAGGUGCGAAAGCGUGGGUAGCAAACAGGAUUAGAUACCCCAGUAGUC